AUUGAACGCUGGCGGCAGGCCUAACACAUGCAAGUCGAACGGUAACAGGAAGCAGCUUGCUGCUUUGCUGACGAGUGGCGGACGGGAGAGUAAGGUCUGGGAAACUGCCUGAUGGAGGGGGAUCACUACUGGAAACGGUUGCUAAUACCGCAUAACGUCGCAAGAUCAAAGAGGUGGACCUUAGGGCCUCUUGCCUUCGGCUGUGCCCAGAUGGGAUUAGCUAGUAGGUGGGGUAACGGCUCACCUAGGCGACGAUCCGUAACUGGUCUGAGAGGAUGAACAGCCACACUGGAACUGAGACACGGUCCAGACUCCUACGGGAGGCAGCAGUGGGGAAUAUUGCACAAUGGGCGAAAGCCUGAUGCAGCCAUGCCGCGUGUAUGAAGAAGGCCUUCGGAUUGUAAAGUACUUUCAGCGGGGAGGAAGGGAGUAAAGUUAAUACCUUUGCUCAUUGACGUUACCCGCAGAAGAAGCACCGGCUAACUCCGUG
RNAcentral lists this ribosomal RNA (490 nucleotides) under uncultured bacterium. RNAcentral describes it as "partial 16S ribosomal RNA". It matches the Rfam family "Bacterial small subunit ribosomal RNA", at positions 30 to 507 of the family's 1533-position model. The record is from RNAcentral.